UACGUAGGUGGCAAGCGUUGUUCGGAAUUACUGGGCGUAAAGGGCGCGUAGGCGGCCUGCUAAGUCGAACGUGAAAUCCCCGGGCUCAACCCGGGAACUGCGUCCGAGACUGGCGGGCUUGAAUCCGGGAGAGGGAUGCGGAAUUCCAGGUGUAGCGGUGAAAUGCGUAGAUAUCUGGAGGAACACCGGUGGCGAAGGCGGCAUCCUGGACCGGCAUUGACGCUGAGGCGCGAAAGCCAGGGGAGCAAACGGG
This 253-nucleotide ribosomal RNA is filed under the name uncultured bacterium. RNAcentral describes it as "partial 16S ribosomal RNA". It matches the Rfam family "Bacterial small subunit ribosomal RNA", at positions 524 to 776 of the family's 1533-position model. The record is from RNAcentral.